RNAcentral lists this ribosomal RNA (628 nucleotides) under uncultured bacterium. RNAcentral describes it as "bacterial SSU rRNA". It matches the Rfam family "Bacterial small subunit ribosomal RNA", at positions 70 to 918 of the family's 1533-position model. The record is from RNAcentral.
CGCCCGCCGCGCGCGGCGGGCGGGGCGGGGGCACGGGGGGCGUACGGGAGGCAGCAGUGGGGAAUUUUGGACAAUGGGGGCAACCCUGAUCCAGCCAUUCCGCGUGAGUGAAGAAGGCCUUCGGGUUGUAAAGCUCUUUCAGCAGGAGCGAAACGGUCGUUUUUAAUACAGACGGCUAAUGACGGUACCGGCGAAAGAAGCACCGGCUAACUCCGUGCCAGCAGCCGCGGUAAUACGUAGGGUGCCAGCGUUAUUCCGAAUUAUUGGGCGUAAAGGGCGCGUAGGCGGUUAUAUAAGUCAGAUGUGAAUACCUGGGCUCAACCGAGGAAGUGCAUUUGAAACUAUAAGACUUGAGUAUGGGAGAGGGUAGUGGAAUUCCUGGUGUAGCGGUGAAAUUCGUAGAUAUCAGGAGGAACACCUGUGGCGAAAGCGGCUACCUGGACCAAUACUGACGCUGAGGCGCGAAGGCGUGGGGAGCAAACAGGAUUAGAUACCCUGGUAGUCCACGCAGUAAACGAUGAUCACUAGGUGUAGCGGGUAGUGACCCCUGUUGUGCCGCAGUUAACACAUUAAGUGAUCCGCCUGGGGAGUACGAUCGCAAGGUUAAAACUCGAAGGAAUUGACGGGG